This 444-nucleotide ribosomal RNA is filed under the name uncultured bacterium. RNAcentral describes it as "SSU rRNA". It matches the Rfam family "Bacterial small subunit ribosomal RNA", at positions 26 to 518 of the family's 1533-position model. The record is from RNAcentral.
AGAGCGAACGCUGGCGGCAGGCUUAACACAUGCAAGUCGAGCGCCCCGCAAGGGGAGCGGCAGACGGGUGAGUAACGCGUGGGAACGUACCUUUUGGUUCGGAACAACACAGGGAAACUUGUGCUAAUACCGGAUAAGCCCUUACGGGGAAAGAUUUAUCGCCGAAAGAUCGGCCCGCGUCUGAUUAGCUAGUUGGUGAGGUAACGGCUCACCAAGGCGACGAUCAGUAGCUGGUCUGAGAGGAUGAUCAGCCACAUUGGGACUGAGACACGGCCCAAACUCCUACGGGAGGCAGCAGUGGGGAAUAUUGGACAAUGGGCGCAAGCCUGAUCCAGCCAUGCCGCGUGAGUGAUGAAGGCCCUAGGGUUGUAAAGCUCUUUUGUGCGGGAAGAUAAUGACGGUACCGCAAGAAUAAGCCCCGGCUAACUUCGUGCCAGCAGCCGC